This 1512-nucleotide long non-coding RNA is filed under the name Olea europaea subsp. europaea. Lineage: Eukaryota; Viridiplantae; Streptophyta; Magnoliopsida; Lamiales; Oleaceae. The record is from RNAcentral.
CUGUAGAAAACAUUGGUUGACAAUAAGUGCACAAAAAAAACCCUAUAUAAAAAUAAAUAAAUAAAUAAAUACACUUUUUUAACCCUAUGUAUUUACUAUCUCUACCUUUUCAUGCACAAAACAAAUCCUUUAAAAUCUCCAUUCUCUAACAAAAAGAAACCCUAGAAAAUCAUCUUUUCGUGCUCCUCUUUCGUCAAUAAAUUUGCAGAAUAACGUUGUAUCAAAGAUAAGUUUGUUAGUGUUUUUCAUUUAAUUUCUCUAGUUCAUUCUAUUGCAUUUUAGUUAGUUUAUGCAACAUGCGUAAUUUGUGUUUUUCGUUCCUUACUUUGUCUGUGGUCGGUUCUUAUUAAUUUCUUCAGGUAUCGUGUUGUGAAGUUUACAGGUUGGUUAAAAGGUAUUUUUUUUUUUUAGCUUUUUUCUAUAAAUUUGAAUUUUUUCUAUAAUUUUUACUUAGCUUUUCUAUGAAAAUUGUUAUCUUGUUCAUGUUUUAAAGUUUUUGUACCUUUUUCACUUCUCUUGGAACACAAAUCGUAGUAGUGUAUCUUGUUAAAUUUUCAGGAUGAAAAUUUUGGAAGUUAUGUAUUGUAUUUUCAGGGGUCUAAGUUUGUGUGUUUAGAUUUUUUAUUUUUUAUUUUUUUUUCAAAUUUAAAAUUCUUGAAUCUAUGGACAAUACAUUCUUUUGGCCUCCUAUUGGUUGGGUUUUGAGAACAAAUUAGAUUGGAUGAACUGAUUUGGUUUUGGAAUUAAGUUCUAUGAUUCAAUUGCUAUAAGAAAGAAAGUUGAGCCUUUGAAGAAAAUUUGAAGUUUCAAUUCAUGUAGUUUUGUGGAUCUUUAUUUUGAAUUUAAUAGAUUUUCCUCCUCUAGCCAGACACUGUGCCUUUAGAUAUAUGAAGUUUGGUCAUCAGUUGCUAAAUUUUUGGAAAAUCUAGCGUGUUAGCUAACCUUGAACUAAUUCAAUGAUUAAAAGCUCUGGUAAACACAACUUGAAGUUUUGGUAUUGUCAAUUUAGUGAAGUUUGUGUGUUUAGUAAGAGUAUUUUUAUACUUUUAUUUUUUUGUCUUCUUUUAACUUUUAAAUCGUUCAAUCUAUGGUCGAUAUGUUCCUUUUCAUUUUCAUAGAAGUUAGUUUUACCAGUUCAAUUUUACAUUUCUUGAUUAAUUUUUUGCAAUAUCUAAAUGAUAUCUGGCUUUAGGAUUUAUAUUUUUUCGUUCUCUACUGUUAGCAGGUAUGAAUGUACUUAUUUUUUUUAGCAAAUAAGUUACUUACUUUCUUAAAAUAGAAAUUGUAUCACUGCAUUUUCUAGAAAUUUUCAUUUUGAAAUUUUCAAAGUCAUGUGUACUUUUCUUAGGGGUUUUAGUGUUAGUUUUGAAAUUUUACUUCUGUUUUAUUUCAAAUUUAAAAUUAUUCAAUGUAUGGUUGAUAUGUUGCCUUUAAUUUUUGUCUAAGUUAGAUUUAUUAUUUCCAUUUCACAUUUGUUCGUUGAUGUUGUUACGUGUUGUCAUACUUGGACAA